CCAAUUUGAAAAAAUAAAUUGCUCAUCGCGGCGCAUUGAUUCGUCACCACCAUAAUCACCUUCAAUUUCCUUCAAAAACCAAUUAAAACCUCAAAUUUGGAGAGACCAACCUCCAAAUUACAGACUCGGUACUUGCUCACUCAACAAGCAGAAAUUUGUUAUACAGGUGACUCAGUGCAGCUCCAUCUUUCGGGUUAAAUUUCAAAUCUGAAACACAGAGAUAUGAGGUGAUUUUUUUUGGAAUUCAACCUCCUCCAUCAGGCCAAAAAACCCAGAUAACAUCUCUCUGAUUCUAGUUCGAUCCGCCAUCAUGGAUGUCUGAAUAGGGACGCCAUGGCCUGGGUUUAAUACGCCACCUAUGAUUUUCUGUUUAUAUGUGCUUGAUGUUGAUCGGAGGUGGGGAGGGAGAAAGGGAGAGAAGGAAACUUGGAUGAGGAUUUAGUGAUGCG
This 449-nucleotide long non-coding RNA is filed under the name Malus domestica (apple). RNAcentral describes it as "long non-coding RNA (MDOM_LNC007041)". The record is from RNAcentral. Lineage: Eukaryota; Viridiplantae; Streptophyta; Magnoliopsida; Rosales; Rosaceae.